GGAGAGAGGAGACAAACAAGAACUUGGAUGUGCCUGGGGAGAGAAGACUCUGAGAACAACACACCGCCUGGGAUUCUGAGUGGCAGCUUCACAGCCCUUCAAAGAGGCGGUUCACCCUGGCUUCUGGAUUGCCGCCGAAGGUGCUGGCCUGGACUGCCUCCCACCCAAGCUACAGGAAAAGGUUCCCGAAUACUUCCAGCGCCCGGUCAUCCACUGGUCCCCACUCCAGAGACUCAGUAACUGUCAUAAAGCCCAGCUCUGUCCCCUCACUGGUGAAGGCGGGCAGUGGCACCUGACGAGCGGGAUCUGAUGCUGCCAGGGCAGGCACGUCCUCUCUCCUGGACACCACCCCCCG
Long non-coding RNA from Bubalus bubalis (water buffalo), 355 nucleotides. RefSeq lists it as uncharacterized. Lineage: Eukaryota; Metazoa; Chordata; Mammalia; Artiodactyla; Bovidae. The record is from RefSeq and is a predicted model, not a curated record. The transcript has 3 exons.